This 497-nucleotide ribosomal RNA is filed under the name uncultured bacterium. RNAcentral's name for it is "partial 16S ribosomal RNA". It matches the Rfam family "Bacterial small subunit ribosomal RNA", at positions 28 to 507 of the family's 1533-position model. The record is from RNAcentral.
GAUGAACGCUGGCGGCGUGCCUAAUACAUGCAAGUCGAGCGAACAGACGAGGAGCUUGCUCCUCUGACGUUAGCGGCGGACGGGUGAGUAACACGUGGAUAACCUACCUAUAAGACUGGGAUAACUUCGGGAAACCGGAGCUAAUACCGGAUAAUAUAUUGAACCGCAUGGUUCAAUAGUGAAAGACGGUUUUGCUGUCACUUAUAGAUGGAUCCGCGCCGCAUUAGCUAGUUGGUAAGGUAACGGCUUACCAAGGCAACGAUGCGUAGCCGACCUGAGAGGGUGAUAGGCCACACUGGAACUGAGACACGGUCCAGACUCCUACGGGAGGCAGCAGUAGGGAAUCUUCCGCAAUGGGCGAAAGCUUGACGGAGCAACGCCGCGUGAGUGAUGAAGGUCUUCGGAUCGUAAAACUCUGUUAUGAGUGAAGAACAAAUGUGUAAGUAACUAUGCACGUCUUGACGGUACCUAAUCAGAAAGCCACGGCUAACUACGUG